GUGUGUUCACACUUGCCAUGUUUGGUUCGAUUAAAAGAACUCUGGUGCAAUUGCUCUGUUAGUGUGGUUCAUUUGAGCAUGUGCGGACA
This is a long non-coding RNA of Sinocyclocheilus anshuiensis, 89 nucleotides long. RefSeq lists it as uncharacterized. NCBI's taxonomy places the organism in Eukaryota, Metazoa, Chordata, Actinopteri, Cypriniformes, Cyprinidae. The transcript has 3 exons. The record is from RefSeq and is a predicted model, not a curated record.